UCCCAAGUGGCUCAGUGGUAAAGUAUCUGCCUGCCAAUGCAGGAGACACAGGUUCACUCCCUGAGUUGGGAA
Bos taurus (domestic cattle) is the source of this 72-nucleotide non-coding RNA. NCBI's taxonomy places the organism in Eukaryota, Metazoa, Chordata, Mammalia, Artiodactyla, Bovidae. The record is from Rfam.